RNAcentral lists this ribosomal RNA (460 nucleotides) under uncultured bacterium. Its description in RNAcentral is "partial 16S ribosomal RNA". It matches the Rfam family "Bacterial small subunit ribosomal RNA", at positions 338 to 795 of the family's 1533-position model. The record is from RNAcentral.
CCUACGGGUAGCAGCAGUGAGGAAUAUUGGUCAAUGGACGAGAGUCUGAACCAGCCAAGUAGCGUGAAGGAUGACUGCCCUAUGGGUUGUAAACUUCUUUUAUCAAGGGAUAAAACGAGGCACGUGCGCCUUUCUGCAUGUACUUUAUGAAUAAGGAUCGGCUAACUCCGUGCCAGCAGCCGCGGUAAUACGGAGGAUCCGAGCGUUAUCCGGAUUUAUUGGGUUUAAAGGGAGCGUAGAGGGCCUGUUAAGUCAGUUGUGAAAGUUUGCGGCUCAACCGUAAAAUUGCAAUUGAUACUGGCAGUCUUGAGUACAGUAGAGGUAGGCGGAAUUCGUAGUGUAGCGGUGAAAUGCUUAGAUAUCACGAAGAACACCGAUUGCGAAGGCAGCUUACUAGACUGUAACUGACGUUGAUGCUCGAAAGUGUGGGUAUCAAACAGGAUGAGAUACCCGGGUAGUC